RNAcentral lists this ribosomal RNA (253 nucleotides) under uncultured bacterium. RNAcentral describes it as "partial 16S ribosomal RNA". It matches the Rfam family "Archaeal small subunit ribosomal RNA", at positions 474 to 727 of the family's 1478-position model. The record is from RNAcentral.
UACCCGCAGCUCAAGUGGUCGCCGCUAUUAUUGGGCCUAAAGCGUCCGUAGCCGGCUCUGUAAAUGCCCGGGUAAAUCGACGUGCUUAACACGUCGAAUUUCGGGUAGACUGCAGGGCUCGGGACCGGGAGAGGCUGGAGGUACUCCGGGGGUAGGGGUGAAAUCCUGUAAUCCCUGGGGGACCACCGGUGGCGAAGGCGUCCAGCUGGAACGGGUCCGACGGUGAGGGACGAAGCCCUGGGGAGCAAACCGG